UGGGGAAUAUUGGACAAUGGGCGCAAGCCUGAUCCAGCCAUGCCGCGUGUGUGAUGAAGGCCUUAGGGUUGUAAAGCACUUUCGCCGAUGACGAUAAUGACUGUAGUCGGAGAAGAAGCCCUGGCUAACUUCGUGCCAGCAGCCGCGGUAAUACGAAGGGGGCAAGCGUUGUUCGGAUUUACUGGGCGUAAAGCGUACGUAGGCGGAUGAUUAAGUCAGGGGUGAAAUCCCGGGGCCCAACCUCGGAACUGCCUUUGAUACUGGUCGUCUUGAGUCCGGGAGGGGAGAGUGAAACUCCUAGUGUAGGGGUGAAAUUCGUAGAUAUGAGGAAGAACACCAGUGGCGAAGGCGGCUCACUGGCCCGAAACUGACGCUGGGAUACGAAAGCGUGGGGAGCAAAC
Molecule: ribosomal RNA, 401 nt
Filed under: uncultured bacterium
Lineage: Bacteria
Description: bacterial SSU rRNA
Rfam family: Bacterial small subunit ribosomal RNA
Source: RNAcentral